GGGAGCACAUCCCCGGCCUCCCCACGCGCGCUCCAGGCGCGACACCCACACGCGGCUCCUGCAGCGCCGGCGUGAUCCGGGGGGCACAACCACGCGAGGACACACAGAUUUAUACUGAUACACGUCUGUAAUCCCGGGGGGAGCCACCUCCCCCCUCUCCCUCCUCCCUUCCCUCCCCGCGGAGCUGGCAGCCUCGGGGGCCCGCAGCCAGGGAAUGCGAUCUGCCCCCGCGAUUCCAAGCGCAACCAGGUCUCCAUUUUGGGUCUCCGAGCCGCGCCUGGGAAGCGGCGGGGAUCCGCGGCCGUCCUCCCGCUAAUGCCGAGUGACAAAUCGCACUUAGGCGAUACAUGAACGAGAAAAUGAUUUAUGGAUUUUCACGACGGUCUGAGGCGAUGAAGUCGACAUGAAUUAUCCAUCCUAAUGUGCAAUAUAUCAUUUUCUAAUAACACUGGGUUAGCCCUAACGCUGCGUGCUGCUCCCUUCGAUAGCAGGUAUCGAUUUCAUACACGGUCCGAGCUCUGGCUUUCCACCGGACACGCACCUCCUGCAGCACCAGCUGAGCUCUGUGUAUUUACCUCUUCCUAAAGCCCAGGGCUAUGGACGGACCCCUGACACUGUGGCCUUUAGUUUUUCCAUCUGUCAUCAUUUAAUUUGGCAAUUUCUUCGCCGAAUGAAGACUAAUCUUUCGCAUCGCUGCAUUUCACUCUGUGCUGUGAUUUAGAGAUGGAAAUAGAUGAUGCCAGGUCUGUAAAUCCCUCGUGCUGAUGGGGAUGGCACCUGGGUAAGUCAAACCUUUUCCCCCUGCCAAAAUCCUCCUUGGCACCCCAAGUACAACGGGGCAUUUUCUAGCAAGGAAGACAGAUGCUAAAUCACACUCCUGCUCACCCAGAACUUUCCUGGCACCUCGAUUUACCAAAUCUCACAGAUUAUCUUAAAGAUGAAAAACUUUGCAUUUAAUUCAUACAUGCUGGCAGAGUGAAUCAUUGACACAAAAAAACCUGAGUGCAUGUGCAUAAGAGGGGGAAGAGCUGCCAGAUCUGGAGGGGGCUCGGCCCUAGAUGCAGCCUGUGUUAGUGCCCCAAGGCCAGGGCAUCCCCUCUCCCCCACCCAAGUUCUUUUGCCCUUCAUCACAGAGUAGCGAUGAAGUCAUAGUGACAUAAGCUAUGAACAUUCCCAAUUAUUUCAACGGUUCCAAGUCUAAAAUAUCACUUUGACAUUAAGAAGGACGAACAAGUCCUGGCCUUACAUGAAACAGUAUGAAACAGAUAUAGGAAAGAUGGAGCACUGGAGCCAAACAUCUGCCACGGGGUUGCAGAUGUAAGCAGAACUGGAGAUACGAUGUUAAUCAUCAUCCUCACGCUUACGGGAGUUCUCCUGGUGAUAAAAACAACUCAUCGUAUUUAUGACCUUAGACAGCUGUUUUAAUAAGCCACAAUAAAGUACGACUUUAUUACAUGCUCUGUACUCCUUUAGUGAUCAGAUAUGAUGGAGCGUCUCCAGAAGGUGCCGGGAGUCUUUCUGAGUAAGAGUUGCAGUGGAUGCACUACAGUCCAGAACAGAAUUACAGUGGAUGCAUGCUAUAGGAAUUUCUUAAGGACAGUCUUCUGCCUCCUUUUCCUUGCCCCCAAGCAUUCUUUAGAGAUUUCAGGGUGACUACUCAAGCAGCAAGAGGCUGUUCAGUGUGAAACAGUAGAUUGGUACAGUCUACUGCUAUUAUUCCACCUUGUCUAGCUUGAGAGUCUAUCAUAAUGUUUAUCACAAAAAAAAAGAAAUAAAAAUCCCAGCCUGUUUCAUUGA
Molecule: long non-coding RNA, 1797 nt
Organism: Pipra filicauda (Wire-tailed manakin)
Lineage: Eukaryota; Metazoa; Chordata; Aves; Passeriformes; Pipridae
Exons: 2
Source: RefSeq, a predicted model, not a curated record